This is a long non-coding RNA of Syngnathus acus (greater pipefish), 106 nucleotides long. RefSeq lists it as uncharacterized. The transcript has 3 exons. Lineage: Eukaryota; Metazoa; Chordata; Actinopteri; Syngnathiformes; Syngnathidae. The record is from RefSeq and is a predicted model, not a curated record.
AUAAUGGCACUCUAUAACAUGCAAGAUAGUGGCCGCCAGGGCAAGAUGGCCUUCCAAAAAACGGCCUUCUAUGAAAUUGUCAAAGUUUAAAAAUGUAUAUAUAUAU